ACUUUUAAAGGAUAACAGCUAAUCCAUUGGUCUUAGGAA
RNAcentral lists this transfer RNA (39 nucleotides) under Chalcostigma ruficeps. RNAcentral's name for it is "tRNA-Leu". The record is from RNAcentral. Lineage: Eukaryota; Metazoa; Chordata; Aves; Apodiformes; Trochilidae.